RNAcentral lists this ribosomal RNA (496 nucleotides) under uncultured bacterium. RNAcentral describes it as "partial 16S ribosomal RNA". It matches the Rfam family "Bacterial small subunit ribosomal RNA", at positions 30 to 523 of the family's 1533-position model. The record is from RNAcentral.
AUUGAACGCUGGCGGAAUGCUUUACACAUGCAAGUCGAACGGUAGAGGGGGCAACCCCUCGAGAGUGGCGAACGGGUGAGUAAUAUAUCGGAACGUGCCCAGUCGUGGGGGAUAACGUAGCGAAAGUUACGCUAAUACCGCAUACGAUCUAAGGAUGAAAGCGGGGGAUCGCAAGACCUCGCGCGAUUGGAGCGGCCGAUAUCAGAUUAGGUAGUUGGUGGGGUAAAGGCUCACCAAGCCAACGAUCUGUAGCUGGUCUGAGAGGACGACCAGCCACACUGGAACUGAGACACGGUCCAGACUCCGACGGGAGGCAGCAGUGGGGAAUGUUGGACAAUGGACGCAAGUCUGAUCCAGCCAUGCCGCGUGCAGGAUGAAGGCCCUCGGGUUGUAAACUGCUUUUGUACGGAACGAAAAGGUCUCUCUUAAUACGGGGGACUCAUGACGGUACCGUAAGAAUAAGCACCGGCUAACUACGUGCCAGCCGCCGCGGUAA